GUAAACAUGGAGAAUACGUAUAUGGAGGAAACCGUUGCGGAGUGUCCGUAUUGUACGAAUUUAGAACCAGUUUCAAGAAAUAGAUACAAGGAGUUAGUAAACGCAUAUGUUGGACGUGACCCGUUCCUCAUGAAGAUGAGUGAGUUUUCGGUCGAACUUGAAGAUUUGCCGACAGUGGAGGCUGUUGACAUCACCAACUAUCUGGUCCUUCAGACAUCGUACUACACCAGACAGCAAAUGAAGGCAUAUAAAAGUCUGGAGGCGUACAACUUUUUUUGUGGGUCCACAACCUCGGUACCAAACGGCUCCACGAUGAUCAUCGUUUGGUCUUCGCUAGGGUAAACCACUCUCAGAGAUCAGGCGAAACAUCUCUGAAGACGACCUGGAUUAUUGCGAAGGAGGAUGGAGAAGUCAUUGCAGCUCAUUGCAGCUCAUUGCAAUUGCAUGGCAGGACUAUCAGAAUCGUGUUCUCAUGUAGGGGCAGUUAUUUUUUCCAUUGAAGUUGGGGUAAAGAUGCGAGAUACAGCUUCCUGCACAACAGAGCAGUGCAAGUGGCUGAUGCCAUCACAUGUAAAAA
Molecule: long non-coding RNA, 577 nt
Organism: Xyrauchen texanus (razorback sucker)
Lineage: Eukaryota; Metazoa; Chordata; Actinopteri; Cypriniformes; Catostomidae
Exons: 3
Source: RefSeq, a predicted model, not a curated record